This 195-nucleotide unclassified non-coding RNA is filed under the name plant metagenome. Its description in RNAcentral is "partial contains small subunit ribosomal RNA, internal transcribed spacer 1, and 5.8S ribosomal RNA". The record is from RNAcentral.
UAUCCGUUGGUGAACCAGCGGAGGGAUCAUUACCGAGUUUACAACUCCCAAACCCCUGUGAACAUACCAUUUGUUGCCUCGGCGGUGCCUGCUUCGGCAGCCCGCCAGAGGACCCAAACCCUUGAUUUUAUACAGUAUCUUCUGAGUAAAUGAUUAAAUAAAUCAAAACUUUCAACAACGGAUCUCUUGGUUCUG